AACUGUCAGUUUUACCCUUGACUAAACAAAUUACAUGUUUGUCUGGCUAAUUCGUGUCAGCUUGGCUGAUCAGUCAGCUCAAUAUAUUUUCUGUUUUCUUUCAAUUUUGUGAGAUUUGUGUUUAAAAUAUUCACAAAUAAUUAAAUCAAGAAGUAAUUUGAACUACAUAACCACAUUUUUAAUUAAACAAUCAAGCAAACGCCUUAAAAAACUCACCUUAAAUCUAUAAAUCGGAUUAUUAUGAUUUUGACAAGGCGUAACAAACUACGAUUAUAAUCGGAUUAUUAACUACGAUUAUUAUUAAUUAUUACUACUAUAGUACUCGGAAUACGCAAGGCGUUUUUGAUUACAGCCACUAUCAGAGCUGUGAUGCAAUCUAUUGGCGGCUAUUUACAUGAAUUUAUUUAUUACCACACAUGGAUUUAUCACAUAUUUUUUUUAUUCGAUUCUCUUUUUUAUGUUCCGUUCACAGGCAAAUCCGCCCUUACUAUACAAUUAAUUCAAAAUCAUUUCGUUGACGAAUAUGAUCCAACGAUUGAGGACUCGUAUCGUAAACAAGUUGUUAUUGAUGGCGAGACAUGCCUG
Molecule: long non-coding RNA, 585 nt
Organism: Contarinia nasturtii (swede midge)
Lineage: Eukaryota; Metazoa; Arthropoda; Insecta; Diptera; Cecidomyiidae
Exons: 3
Source: RefSeq, a predicted model, not a curated record